RNAcentral lists this long non-coding RNA (711 nucleotides) under Cairina moschata (Muscovy duck). RNAcentral describes it as "domestica (muscovy Duck (domestic type)) lncRNA (ENSCMMG00000001965.1)". The record is from RNAcentral. Lineage: Eukaryota; Metazoa; Chordata; Aves; Anseriformes; Anatidae.
AAAGCUUCCUAACAGUGUAAAACUUCUAUUUUCCCCAAAAGAAAGAAACAUUUAGUUUCAUAUCAACCACAUUUGUAUCGUGAAUCAAGAGAAUUAAUAUAUAGAUUUCACAAAUCCUUGAUUUAAUCCUUGCAAUGCUUUUCAUCAUCUGAGAUUUUUUCUCUCGUCCCAACCUAUGUUCUCUACAAUGAUGACUUUUUAAAAUUCACUAUGCAAAUUAUACUUUUAUACUUAGCUCAUGAACAUUGAAUAAAUCCCCAGUCAAUGAGGGCAGAUUGCUGAGUGAGAAACGUGGGAUGAAACCUCUUCCAUACUUCAAAAAGUGGCAUUGAAAUACCAUAUGAAGUGCUGUGGAAAUAUGCUUGAUGUAUCUUUUGUAUCUUUCUUUAACCUCGAAUAGCUUUUUUUUUUUGCUUUUUUUUUUUUUUUUUCAGAUGGAUGAGGCUGGUUGGCUUUGCUUUCCAUCACUACAACAAUCUUUUCUCUUAAUUACCUACUGUGAAGGGAAGUGUUCACACAACCUGAUAAUGAUUGCAACUGCUUCAUAAUUGCAACCCGUCCUGUAAGUAAAGGCAUUAUGUUCUGGUAUGAAAUGUAUGUCUGCCUUUCAUUAUCACAGACAGAUGUGGCUACAGCCUUUCACAUCACAUGAGCUGAAGGCUGUAAAUGCUGCUGUGAUGCUCCUGCCAUUUCACUUUACCACAAUGACUA